RNAcentral lists this ribosomal RNA (560 nucleotides) under Salmonella enterica. Its description in RNAcentral is "partial 23S ribosomal RNA". It matches the Rfam family "Bacterial large subunit ribosomal RNA", at positions 711 to 1268 of the family's 2925-position model. Lineage: Bacteria; Pseudomonadati; Pseudomonadota; Gammaproteobacteria; Enterobacterales; Enterobacteriaceae. The record is from RNAcentral. RNAcentral also lists the same sequence under 1 other name.
AGACCCGAAACCCGGUGAUCUAGCCAUGGGCAGGUUGAAGGUUGGGUAACACUAACUGGAGGACCGAACCGACUAAUGUUGAAAAAUUAGCGGAUGACCUGUGGCUGGGGGUGAAAGGCCAAUCAAACCGGGAGAUAGCUGGUUCUCCCCGAAAGCUAUUUAGGUAGCGCCUCGUGAAUUCAUCUCCGGGGGUAGAGCACUGUUUCGGCUAGGGGGCCAUCCCGGCUUACCAACCCGAUGCAAACUGCGAAUACCGGAGAAUGUUAUCACGGGAGACACACGGCGGGUGCUAACGUCCGUCGUGAAGAGGGAAACAACCCAGACCGCCAGCUAAGGUCCCAAAGUCAUGGUUAAGUGGGAAACGAUGUGGGAAGGCCCAGACAGCCAGGAUGUUGGCUUAGAAGCAGCCAUCAUUUAAAGAAAGCGUAAUAGCUCACUGGUCGAGUCGGCCUGCGCGGAAGAUGUAACGGGGCUAAACCAUGCACCGAAGCUGCGGCAGCGACACUGUGUGUUGUUGGGUAGGGGAGCGUUCUGUAAGCCUGCGAAGGUGGCCUGUGAGG